RNAcentral lists this ribosomal RNA (551 nucleotides) under Salmonella enterica subsp. enterica serovar Agona. Its description in RNAcentral is "partial 23S ribosomal RNA". It matches the Rfam family "Bacterial large subunit ribosomal RNA", at positions 1 to 591 of the family's 2925-position model. Lineage: Bacteria; Pseudomonadati; Pseudomonadota; Gammaproteobacteria; Enterobacterales; Enterobacteriaceae. The record is from RNAcentral.
GGUUAAGCGACUAAGCGUACACGGUGGAUGCCCUGGCAGUCAGAGGCGAUGAAGGACGUGCUAAUCUGCGAUAAGCGCCGGUAAGGUGAUAUGAACCGUUAUAACCGGCGAUUUCCGAAUGGGGAAACCCAGUGUGAUUCGUCACACUAUCAUUAACUGAAUCCAUAGGUUAAUGAGGCGAACCGGGGGAACUGAAACAUCUAAGUACCCCGAGGAAAAGAAAUCAACCGAGAUUCCCCCAGUAGCGGCGAGCGAACGGGGAGGAGCCCAGAGCCUGAAUCAGCAUGUGUGUUAGUGGAAGCGUCUGGAAAGGCGCGCGAUACAGGGUGACAGCCCCGUACACAAAAGCGCAUGUGCUGUGAGCUCGAUGAGUAGGGCGGGACACGUGGUAUCCUGUCUGAAUAUGGGGGGACCAUCCUCCAAGGCUAAAUACUCCUGACUGACCGAUAGUGAACCAGUACCGUGAGGGAAAGGCGAAAAGAACCCCGGCGAGGGGAGUGAAAAAGAACCUGAAACCGUGUACGUACAAGCAGUGGGAGCACCCUUUGGGG